GAGUUAGUAGCUCAGUGGUAGAGUGCAUGCUUUGUAUGUAUGAUGUCCUGGGUUCAAUCCCCAGCUUUUCCC
This 72-nucleotide transfer RNA is filed under the name Dallia pectoralis (Alaska blackfish). RNAcentral's name for it is "tRNA-Thr". It matches the Rfam family "tRNA". From Rfam's summary of the family: Transfer RNA (tRNA) molecules are approximately 80 nucleotides in length. Their secondary structure includes four short double-helical elements and three loops (D, anti-codon, and T loops). The record is from RNAcentral. Lineage: Eukaryota; Metazoa; Chordata; Actinopteri; Esociformes; Umbridae.